This 314-nucleotide long non-coding RNA is filed under the name Elaeis guineensis (African oil palm). RNAcentral's name for it is "long non-coding RNA (EGUI_LNC017368)". Lineage: Eukaryota; Viridiplantae; Streptophyta; Magnoliopsida; Arecales; Arecaceae. The record is from RNAcentral.
UCCUCUUCAUGUCCAAGGAGUUGGACGUUCAUCUGGUGCAAGGAAAAGGCAUGGUGAUGCCUGGAAUAGGAAGGCUACAGGACAUCUUCGACAGGCUACUGUUUCAAUUUCAGAAGGAGUUCUGAAGUACUUUCAAAUCAGAUAGAGAUCUAAUUUUUGGAGCAUAUAUUCAUGAGGAGAAGAUGUUCCAGGUUCUGCCUGAGUGGAUAUCGAUAGAGGCCAGGCGCUUGCAUGGCUACAUCAAAAACUCGGGCUAUGCUGAGAUCAUCUACAAGGUAAUCAGAUUACCCUUGAGGUAUGUCUAUACUUCUCAU